GCAACGCAGAGUACUUGGGCGAUAGAACUUGCAAAAUGGCGUCUUACUGAACAUUCGUAUAUUCGUGUAUUUCUUGCAGGUCGUGUCCGUUAUUUAGAUCAUUGGAAUCACUGUGUGCAGUUUUAUAUUCAUUAAUUAUUGACUAUAUUUCAUCAUGGGUACAUCAGAUUUGGAGGGUUCCGAAUGUAAACGAGAACCUUUAGGAUUAGAUUCUGAUGUUGAUGGUAUGAUUGAUCCAAAAAAGAAAAAGAAGAGAAAACAUAAGCAUCAUAAGCACAAAAAAGAAAAAUUAAUUGAGAAAGAUGACGAACGAUUAGACAAGCAGGAAAGACGAAAACAUAAGAAACACAAGAGACAGAAAAGAGAUAGAAAUAUGGAAAAUGGUACUAUUGAAGAGAAAUCAAUUUCUAACGUAAUACAUAAAGAAAUUGGUGUAAAUGGAAAAACAACUUCCAUAUUAGAAGUUAUCUCUACGGAAGAAAGCGAAGAUGAGAAAUUGGUUGAUCUUGAUUCUGAUGAAGUGGAUUGCACCAUUAUAGAAGAUGACAUUGAUCUUGAAGAAUUAAUGAAACAGAAGGAACGAUUGCAAGCAUGUUUAGUACAAUAUCUCUCGGAUGAUUCUGAAAAGGGUGACGAUAAAGAGUUACGAGAAGAAGAGGAAGAAGAGGAAGAAGAAUCUAAAACUGUGGCAGAAACACCCGAUGUCAUACUUGUAGAAGAUGAUAGCGAUAUCGAUGUAUCAUCGAAAAAACGAGAUAGAAGCAAAUCAGGCAGUAGAGAACGUAAGAAAGUGAUAAAAUCCGAAAGACGUGUUAUAGUUGAUAUCACUAGAGAUAGAAAAACUCGCGAACAGCACAAAGAUAAGAGAAGAGAUUUUGAUAGAAAAAGAGAUGAAAAAAACCGCCUUAGAGAGGAAGGAAAAAGAGAAGAUACUCGAAGAGACGAUAGAUCUUCACGAAAAAUUUAUGAAAGACAGAAAGAAGAUACAAAAAAAGACGAACUUAAUAAAAAAGUAGAUGAUGACCAGCAAAAACGUAAAGAUCUAUUGAGAAGGGAUGAGACACGUAGAAGAGAAUCAGAUAGACGAGAAGAAAACAGAAAACGAGAGCCACCUAUCCAUUAUAAUUCAAAAACUCGUAACAAUGAGUUAAAAAGUUUAGAUAACAAAAGCCACGACAGAAUGGGAAGUCGCGAGCGUCAAGACAGUCGAGAUCGUCACAUUAGUCACGAUCAACGCAGUCAUGAUAGAUUAUCGAGUAGAGAGCCCCGCCGUCAUGCUAGUCGUGACAAAAGGGAUAGUAAGAGCAAAGAUCGUCAUGGAAAUAAAGAUCGACAUGAUGGUAGUCGCGAUCGACGAGAAAUUCGAUAUCAUGAUCAUCGAAUCGACGAUCGGUCUCGCAAUACCGUGAGAAGAUCACGUAGUUUAAAUCGAACCAGAUCAGAAAGAGAACGAAACGAUCGGUAUAAAAGAUCCAGAUCUCCUUCUCGAAGUCACAGAGAUCGAGAUAAGCAACAAUUCAGGGAUCAUAUUAGAGAUCGCGAAAAGGAUAGAGAGAGAAAUAACAAGAGAGAUCGUAGCGAUAAGUACAAAGAUUCUUUAUCGGAAGGUCUUAAGAUAGAACAUUCGGACAGCUCAAGCGAAGAAGACAUCAGAGAUAUUGAUAUCGAGGAAGAAGAAGAUGAAGAAGCUAUUAUAGAACGUCGACGAAAACAAAGAGAAGAAUUGCUCAAAAGACUAAGUGGACCAAAUGAAGAUUCUAAUAUGUCUGCUGAUAUCAUUGUUGCUGAUUCUCCAGAAAGCCAAUCUAAUAUAUCACAAAAAUCUGUAGAGAUGCCAUCCAAUAACAAUGAAUCUCUUUUGGAGAGUCAUACUCCACCACUGCCUACAGAAAAACUAGAGUCUCCGCCUCCAGCUAAAAAGCGAAAAUCCAGAUUUGAGGAUGCACCACUUAAUGAGCCAGACAAAACUGAGAAUAUCAAAAUAUCUGAAAGAUUUAAACAAGAAGAAAAACCAACUUCGAAAAAAUCGAACGAAUGGGACAUGUUUGCGGAAGCAGAUAAUAUCGGUGAUUUUAACAGUCCUACGUUAGAAGGAAAACGUCAAGGAGGACCAGACAAUCCUAGUUUGACAGAUAACUGGGACGACGCCGAAGGAUAUUAUCGAGUGCGCGUUGGAGAAACACUAGACGCGCGAUACGUAGUUUAUGGAUAUACAGGACAAGGAGUAUUUAGUAAUGUAGUAAGAGCGAGAGACAGCGCUAGAGGAAAUUUAGACGUAGCUGUGAAAAUUAUAAGGAACAAUGAAAUAAUGCAUAGAACUGGUUUGAAGGAGCUAGAGAUUCUUAGAAAGCUGAACGACGCUGAUCCGGAAGAUAGAUUUCACUGCUUGCGUCUAUUUAGACAUUUUUUCCAUAAAAAUCAUUUAUGUAUGGUUUUCGAACCUUUAGCCAUGAAUUUAAGAGAGGUUUUAAAAAAAUAUGGUAAAGACGUUGGUUUACAUGUCAAAGCAGUAAGAUCGUAUACGCAGCAACUUUUUCUAGCACUAAAAUUAUUAAAACGUGCAAAUAUUCUGCAUGCUGACAUCAAACCGGAUAAUAUUCUAGUCAGUGAAAGCAAACUGGUGUUAAAACUCUGUGAUUUUGGUUCCGCAUCGCACGCCCAUGAAAAUGAAAUAACACCGUAUUUAGUUUCGAGAUUUUAUCGUGCACCCGAAAUUAUUCUUGGUAUACCAUAUGAUUUUGGUAUUGACAUGUGGUCUGUGGGAUGUACCAUAUACGAAUUAUACACAGGAAAAAUAAUGUUUUCGGGAAAAACAAACAAUCAAAUGUUAAAGUAUUUCAUGGAUCUAAAGGGCAAAAUGCCAAACAAGUUAAUUAGGAAAGGAUCAUUUAAGGAUCAACAUUUUGACAGCAAUUGUAAUUUUCUAUAUCACGAGGUUGAUAAAGUCACAGAACGAGAAAAAGUCGUCGUAAUGUCAACCUUACCAGCGACUCGCGAUCUUAGCGCAGAACUUGGUGGAAAUUCUUUACCACCAGAACAAAAUCGUAAAGUUGGACAAUUGAAGGAUUUGUUGGAACGAACAUUGAUGUUGGACGCAGGGAAGAGAAUCACUGUGAAUCAUGCUCUGGCGCAUCCUUUUAUACAAGAAAAGAUAUAGAUGUGUCUUCGAUUCAAAUCAUCGUUAAGUGCGGCCGGACCUCUUUCAAGGGCCUUUAGCGCCGAUCCCGUUACAAGCCCUCCCUGUGAGGAGGGGAGACAAUGGAAGAGGUGAUGAAAAUGAUGAAAACGAUUGAUGAGGAAGAAAGGAAAAAUAUGAUGUAUUUGUGCCUACGUCAUGUCUACUGCAUAAAAAUACAUACACUAUCGCUAAACAAUUGAACAAGAUUUAUACAACGGUUUAACUAGAUUUAUAUCUACGCGCUUCUCUUAAAAUUAUUUGAGAUUACAAUCAAGGACGUAAGUAUGUAUACAGAAAUAUAGUAAGUUCUCUUCAUCUUCUACAUGAAGCUUCCAAACUUCUUAAUCUCGUUCCGGAUAAUACUGGAUCAAUAUUUUGGAAAGUUGUUGAGCUAAUUCUACUGAUGAUGCACACAAUGUUCUUCUACUCAUCACGUCAAAUGAACCACCUUUUUUAAUCUGGAUCUAUUGAUACACCUCCGGCUUCUCGAACAAUAAGAUCUCCGGCUGCAAUGUCCCAUGCAUGUAUACCAAAUUCAAAAGAAAUGUCAGCACUGCCACAAGCCACCAUACACAUAUUCAGAGCCGCCGAACCAAGCGAUCGUAUUCUGUAAAAUGAGUAAAUAAAUCUUUGCGAAAUUUUUUAACUAGAAA
RNAcentral lists this unclassified non-coding RNA (3831 nucleotides) under Monomorium pharaonis (pharaoh ant). Its description in RNAcentral is "serine/threonine-protein kinase PRP4 homolog, transcript variant X7". The record is from RNAcentral. Lineage: Eukaryota; Metazoa; Arthropoda; Insecta; Hymenoptera; Formicidae.